AACGAACGCUGGCGGCAUGCCUAACACAUGCAAGUCGAACGAGACCUUCGGGUCUAGUGGCGCACGGGUGCGUAACGCGUGGGAACCUGCCCUUAGGUUCGGAAUAACUCCCCGAAAGGGGUGCUAAUACCGGAUAAUGUCUUCGGACCAAAGAUUUAUCGCCUUUGGAUGGGCCCGAGUUGGAUUAGCUCGUUGGUAGGGUAAAAGCCUACCAAGGCGACGAUCCAUAGCUGGUCUGAGAGGAUGAUCAGCCACACUGGGACUGAGACACGGCCCAGACUCCUACGGGAGGCAGCAGUGGGGAAUAUUGGACAAUGGGCGAAAGCCUGAUCCAGCAAUGCCGCGUGAGUGAUGAAGGCCUUAGGGUUGUAAAGCUCUUUUACCCGGGAUGAUAAUGACAGUACCGGGAGAAUAAGCUCCGGCUAACUCCGUG
RNAcentral lists this ribosomal RNA (433 nucleotides) under uncultured bacterium. RNAcentral's name for it is "partial 16S ribosomal RNA". It matches the Rfam family "Bacterial small subunit ribosomal RNA", at positions 29 to 507 of the family's 1533-position model. The record is from RNAcentral.